CUAGCUGACUUAAGUAACAAACAUUUAUUUCAUGGUAAGCUGAAAGCAAACCCCAGCUUAGGAAACAGGGUCAUUCUUCAUGUGGGUGACUCUGUGCCGAAAGUAUGGGAACAACC
Molecule: non-coding RNA, 116 nt
Organism: Myotis brandtii (Brandt's bat)
Lineage: Eukaryota; Metazoa; Chordata; Mammalia; Chiroptera; Vespertilionidae
Source: Rfam